This 367-nucleotide ribosomal RNA is filed under the name uncultured organism. Its description in RNAcentral is "bacterial LSU rRNA". It matches the Rfam family "Bacterial large subunit ribosomal RNA", at positions 2099 to 2465 of the family's 2925-position model. The record is from RNAcentral.
CUUUACUGUAGCCUGGUAUUGGGUUCGGGCUUUGACUGCGCAGGAUAGGUGGGAGACUAUGAAGCUGCCCUUGUGGGGGCAGUGGAGUCAUCAGUGAGAUACCACUCUGUCAAGGCUAGAAUUCUAACCGUCUGCCGUUGUCCGGCGACGGAACAGUAUCAGGUGGGCAGUUUGACUGGGGCGGUCGCCUCCUAAAUGGUAACGGAGGCGCGCAAAGGUUCCCUCAGGCUGGUUGGAAAUCAGCCGAAGAGUGUAAAGGCAGAAGGGAGCUUGACUGCAAGAGCAACAACUCAAGCAGGGACGAAAGUCGGCCUUAGUGAUCCGACGGCGCUGAGUGGAAGGGCCGUCGCUCAACGGAUAAAAGUUA